UCCUACGGGAGGCAGCAGUGGGGGAUAUUGCACAAUGGGGGAAACCCUGAUGCAGCGACGCCGCGUGUGGGAAGACGGUCCUCUGGAUUGUAAACCACUGUCCCCAGGGACGAAGAUGACAGUACCUCAGGAGGAAGCUCCGGCUAACUAUGUGCCAGCAGCCGCGGUAAUACAUAGGGAGCAAGCGUUAUCCGGAUUUAUUGGGUGUAAAGGGUGCGUAGACGGGAAAUUAAGUUAGUUGUGAAAUCCCUCGGCUUAACUGAGGAACUGCAACUAAAACUGAUUUUCUUGAGUACUGGAGAGGA
Molecule: ribosomal RNA, 305 nt
Filed under: uncultured bacterium
Lineage: Bacteria
Description: bacterial SSU rRNA
Rfam family: Bacterial small subunit ribosomal RNA
Source: RNAcentral